This 497-nucleotide ribosomal RNA is filed under the name uncultured bacterium. RNAcentral's name for it is "partial 16S ribosomal RNA". It matches the Rfam family "Bacterial small subunit ribosomal RNA", at positions 28 to 507 of the family's 1533-position model. The record is from RNAcentral.
GAUGAACGCUGGCGGCGUGCCUAAUACAUGCAAGUCGAGCGAACAGACGAGGAGCUUGCUCCUUCGACGUUAGCGGCGGACGGGUGAGUAACACGUAGGUAACCUACCUAUAAGACUGGGAUAACUUCGGGAAACCGGAGCUAAUACCGGAUAAUAUUUCGAACCGCAUGGUUCGAUAGUGAAAGAUGGCUUUGCUAUCACUUAUAGAUGGACCUGCGCCGUAUUAGCUAGUUGGUAAGUUAACGGCUUACCAAGGCAACGAUACGUAGCCGACCUGAGAGGGUGAUCGGCCACACUGGAACUGAGACACGGUCCAGACUCCUACGGGAGGCAGCAGUAGGGAAUCUUCCGCAAUGGGCGAAAGCCUGACGGAGCAACGCCGCGUGAGUGAUGAAGGUCUUCGGAUCGUAAAACUCUGUUAUUAGGGAAGAACAAACGUGUAAGUAGCUGUGCACGUCUUGACGGUACCUAAUCAGAAAGCCACGGCUAACUACGUG